GGCCCCUUCGUUUUCUCUCUGGACGCGUCUUUCCCAAAAUAGAGAAUAUCUGGAUUUCGCUUUUGCUUUUGAAAGUAGUAAUUUUUAUUUUAUUUUUAAUUUCUAGAGGAAAAAAAAAGUAACUCAUAAGCCCAUAUUUUUUUCCCCUCGAUUUCGAAUACCAAUGAAAUACUACGUCUUGGAUGUGGUUUUGGGAUAGGUGUUCUUGCUUAGAUGCUCAAAUUUUCUAAAUUCGAAACAGAUUCUUCCUCUCUCCAUCCCUGGAUUUCACUUUCUCUUUCUAGAUCGACCUCAGGUUUUUCACCUUCCUUCGAUCGUCUUCUUCUCUGGCUCGUCGUGUACUGUUACUGUAUCAUCUGUGUCAUCCCUGGCUUUUUAUUGCCUUGGAGAUUUGGAUCUAUAUUUCAGAGAACUAGGGUCUAUAUUUUAGAGAACUAGGUCGACUACUAUUAUUGAGUGGCUUACUUGAAUUCACGGGUUUAUUUCAAUCAGUGUGAUAUGAAUAUGGGUUCUGGUAGUGAGUUUUAAGUGAAAUGGGUUUUAAGGUUCAAGCAUUUUUAUCAUACUUAUGUAUGCUUCAGUGAUGGAGGUAGCUUGGAGGAUGAAUAGGAAUUUAGUUUUUGUGUGAUUUGCUGAUAUCUUUUAAUCAUGGCAGAGCUUAUGGAAUGAGAAAGAAUACAAUUUGAAGAAUGGAUGAUGAUAGAGAAAUUGGG
This 713-nucleotide unclassified non-coding RNA is filed under the name Hevea brasiliensis (rubber tree). Lineage: Eukaryota; Viridiplantae; Streptophyta; Magnoliopsida; Malpighiales; Euphorbiaceae. The record is from RNAcentral.